CCUACGGGUGGCUGCAGUGAGGAAUAUUGGUCAAUGGAGGAGAGUCUGAACCAGCGAAGUAGCGUGAGUGAUGACUGCCCUCUGGAUUGUAAACUUCUUUUAUAAAGGAGUAAACCGCGGCACGUGUGCCUUUUUGCAUGUACUUUAUGAAUAAGGAUCGGCUAACUCCGUGCCAGAAGCCGCGGUAAUCCGGAGGAUUCGAGCGUUAUCCGGUUUUAUUGGGUUUAAAGGGUGCGUAGGCGGGCAUUUAGGCCGGCGGUCAGAUGUCGGGGCUCAACCCCGGCCUGCCGUCGGAACUGGGGGCCUGGAGUGGGCGAGAAGUAAGCGGAAUGCGUGGUGUAGCGGUGAAAUGCAUAGAUAUCACGCAGAACCCCGAUGGCGAAGGCAGCAUACCGGAG
This 398-nucleotide ribosomal RNA is filed under the name uncultured bacterium. RNAcentral's name for it is "partial 16S ribosomal RNA". It matches the Rfam family "Bacterial small subunit ribosomal RNA", at positions 338 to 734 of the family's 1533-position model. The record is from RNAcentral.